AUAUAAGUAACUAUAGGGUCCGCUCGGGUUUCAAAUAAGUAACUAUAGGGUCCGCUCGGGUUUCAAAUAAUCAACUAUAGGGUCCGCUCGGGUUUCAUAAAAAAAAAUAUAUAUAGUUUCAAAUAAUAAUACUAUAAGUGUAAUAAGUUCUAUAGGUCCGCUCGGGUUCAAUAAGUAACUAAUAUAGGGGUUUAUUCCCUCGAAAUAUAGUUAGGUUUUAACAAGUUCGGGAAAUUCAAAUAAGAAUAUAUAAGAAAUCGGGGUAACCGCUCGGGUUUCAUAAUAAAACUUUAGUAGUUCCAUCGGUUUUAUCUAUAAAAUAACUAUAGGAAUAGUCGUGGCCAGGUUUCGGGUUUCAAAGUUAACUGUAGGGUCCCGUUCCUCUUUAACAAGUAAAUUCUCGGGCAAAUAAGUAACUAUAGGGCUCGGGUUCAUUUAAAAACUAUAAGGGUCCGGGCUCGGGUUUCAUAAGAUAGUCCGCUCGGGUAAGUUUUAUUACUCUUCGGGUUUCUAUCGGCAAACGUAACUUAUCCCUCUCGUCUUAAUAUAGGUAGGGCCGCUCUGAAGUUAACUAUAGGGUCCUCUCUCGGGUCCGCAGGGUUCUAUAAAUAUAGUAAACUCGGGUUUAAAUAACUAUAGGGGGUCGCUCGUAACUAUAGGUCAGUAUAGGGGGGGAGGUGGGCUCGGGUUUCAAAUAAGUAACUAUAGGGUCCGCUCGGGUUUCAAAUCAGUAACUAUAGGGUACGCUUGGGUUUCAUAUAAGUAACUAUAGGGUCCGCUCUGGUUUCAAAUAAGUAACUAUAGUGUCCGCUCGGGUUUCAAAUAACUAUAGGGUCCGCUCGGGUUUCAAAUAAGUAACUAUAGGGUCCUCUCGGGUUUCAAAUAAGUAACUAUAGGGUCCGCGCGGGUUUCAAAUAAGUAACUAUAGGGUCCACUCGGGUUUCAAAUAAAUAACUAUAGGGUCCGCUCGGGUUUCAACAAUGACCAAACCCAGAUAUAUAAAUUCAUGAAAGAACAACACUGAUUGAUAUAAAAAAAAAAACAAGUGACAGACAGAAACUUACGACAACCACUGAAUUACAGGUGCCCGACUUUAAAAAGACUUAAAAAAUUAUGGUGAAAUAUGUUUGCAUGAUGACGACUAAAUUUAAACAUGUUUUUUUUCGUUUUUUUUUGUUUGGUUUUUUUUUGUACAGCACUGAGUCGAUAACUCUGCUGGUGGAUCAGGAUCAGUCCCGCAGGUAUCAUCAGCUCAGUAGUCAGUUCAAGUUUAGGUAUUUGAAAUGAUUUAUAACCGAAAUCUUUCUAAAAUGGUCCGUUUAAAUUUU
Molecule: long non-coding RNA, 1328 nt
Filed under: Mytilus galloprovincialis (Mediterranean mussel)
Lineage: Eukaryota; Metazoa; Mollusca; Bivalvia; Mytilida; Mytilidae
Source: RNAcentral